Molecule: ribosomal RNA, 253 nt
Filed under: uncultured bacterium
Lineage: Bacteria
Description: partial 16S ribosomal RNA
Rfam family: Bacterial small subunit ribosomal RNA
Source: RNAcentral
GACGGAGGGGGCUAGCGUUGUUCGGAAUGACUGGGCGUAAAGGGCGCGUAGGCGGUUUUUUAAGUGAGGCGUGAAAGCCCUGGGCUUAACCCAGGAGGUGCGUUUCAGACUGGAAGGCUUGAGUGCGAGAGAGGAAAAUGGAAUUCCUAGUGUAGAGGUGAAAUUCGUAGAUAUUAGGAAGAACACCCGUGGCGAAGGCGGUUUUCUGGCUCGCAACUGACGCUGAGGCGCGAAAGCGUGGGGAGCAAACAGG